This 685-nucleotide ribosomal RNA is filed under the name Sandona disimilis. RNAcentral's name for it is "eukaryotic LSU rRNA". The stretch from base 366 to 685 matches the Rfam family "Eukaryotic large subunit ribosomal RNA", at positions 1 to 317 of the family's 3401-position model. Lineage: Eukaryota; Cercozoa; Glissomonadida; Sandonidae. The record is from RNAcentral.
CAAUCUUUGACGCAAAUUGCGCUCUUGGGUAGCCCUAGGAGCACGCCUCUCUCAGUAUCGGUUCAACAACCUCUCAGCAGCGUAUGCAAAUACGUGUUCGCUGGAUAAUGAGAGUCUGACUCUUCACGAGUCAGUCUCUUUAAAUACAUGGAGUGAGCAUCACAUUCGUACACUUCGACGCAAGUCGAAGCCGGUCUCUGACUGGUUGUACGGGAGUGACGUGAAUACUGACCUUUAUGGUCUCACAUUUACGUGUAACUUUCGUCAGCUAUGAAAAGUCUAGGAUAGGUGUGUAAGAAGAGGUGCCUCAUGUUACGCGGCCUUACAGCUGCAAUCGGCUUAGAAUUUAUUCGAAGUCUGAAUUUUGAUCUGAGAUGAAGCGAGACAACCCCCUGAAUUUAAGCAUAUUAAUAAGGGGAGGAAAAGAAACUAACAAGGAUUCCCCCAGUAACGGCGAGUGAAGCGGGAAGAGCUCAAUUUGAAAAUCGACUACCUAAGCGGGUCGUCGAGUUGUAGCCUAGAGACGUACUAUCAGCUGAAACCUGGGUAUAAGUUCUUUGGAAUGAGGCAUCAUAGAGGGUGAGAAUCCCGUAUAUGACCCAAAGCUUUCAGCGUACGAUGUAUGUUCAUCGAGUCGAGUUGUUUGGGAUUGCAGCUCUAAAUGGGUGGUAGUUUCAUCUAAGCU